Molecule: ribosomal RNA, 446 nt
Filed under: uncultured bacterium
Lineage: Bacteria
Description: partial 16S ribosomal RNA
Rfam family: Bacterial small subunit ribosomal RNA
Source: RNAcentral
CCUACGGGAGGCAGCAGUCGAGAAUCAUUCACAAUGGGGGAAACCCUGAUGGUGCGACGCCGCGUGGGGGAAUGAAGGUCUUCGGAUUGUAAACCCCUGUCAUGUGGGGGCAAAUUAAAAAGAUAGUACCACAAGAGGAAGAGACGGCUAACUCUGUGCCAGCAGCCGCGGUAAUACAGAGGUCUCAAGCGUUGUUCGGAAUCACGGGGCGUAAAGGGUGCGUAGGCUGUUUCGUAAGUCGUGUGUGAAAGGCGCGGGCUCAACCGGCGGACGGCACAUGAUACUGCGAGACUAGAGUAAUGUAGGGGGAACCGGAAUUCUCGGUGGAGCAGUGAAAUGCGUAGAUAUCGAGAGGAACACUCGUGGCGAAGGCGGGUUCCUGGACAUUAACUGACGCUGAGGCACGAAGGCCAGGGGAGCGAAAGGGAUUAGAUACCCUUGUAGUC